RNAcentral lists this ribosomal RNA (499 nucleotides) under uncultured Glomeromycotina. Its description in RNAcentral is "partial small subunit ribosomal RNA". It matches the Rfam family "Eukaryotic small subunit ribosomal RNA", at positions 591 to 1092 of the family's 1831-position model. Lineage: Eukaryota; Fungi; Glomeromycota. The record is from RNAcentral.
CCAAUAGCGUAUAUUAAAGUUGUUGCAGUUAAAAAGCUCGUAGUUGAAUUUCGGGAUCAAAUUGUCGGUCGUGCCUCGGUACGCACUGGUAUUAUUGGUUCCUACCUUCUGAAGAACCGCGAUGUCAUUAAUUUGGUGUCGUGGGGAAUCAGGACUGUUACUUUGAAAAAAUUAGAGUGUUUAAAGCAGGCUUACGUUUGAAUACAUUAGCAUGGAAUAAUGAAAUAGGACGUUUGAUUCUAUUUUGUUGGUUUCUAGGAUUGACGUAAUGAUUAAUAGGGAUAGUUGGGGGCAUUAGUAUUCAAUUGUCAGAGGUGAAAUUCUUGGAUUUAUUGAAGACUAACUACUGCGAAAGCAUUUGCCAAGGAUGUUUUCAUUAAUCAAGAACGAAAGUUAGGGGAUCGAAGACGAUCAGAUACCGUCGUAGUCUUAACCAUAAACUAUGCCGACUAGGGAUCGGAUGAUGUUAAUUUUUUAAUGACUCAUUCGGCGCCUUACG